Molecule: long non-coding RNA, 1450 nt
Organism: Loxodonta africana (African savanna elephant)
Lineage: Eukaryota; Metazoa; Chordata; Mammalia; Proboscidea; Elephantidae
Exons: 4
Source: RefSeq, a predicted model, not a curated record
CUAAAAAAAAAAAACACCAUUGCCGUCGAGUUGAUUCUGACUCAUAGCAACGCUGUAAGACAGAGCAGAACUGCCCAAUAGAGUUUCCAAGGAGUUCCUGGUGGGUUUGAACUGCCGACCUUUUGGUUAGCAGCUGUAGCACUUAACUACUACGCCACCAGGGUUUCCAAGAGGAUGCUAGUAGGGCAAUACAUCUAAUUUAUUGUUGAAAGGGCUGAGAGUUAAUCCCAAAAUAAGAAAGGUUACUGCAACCUGUAUGAAGCAGCUUAGUUGUAAAGAACACUUCAAGUUUUUCUGUUAGUAUUUGUCUUUUAGGAUGGUUAAGACUAGCUGGUAUUGAACAACCUGGAUAUUUUGGUUUUGUCACACUUAAUGUGUUUUACACCUUUAACUUUGGUAUUUAUUAGCUCAUUAGUGUUAAAUUAUUAUAACUUUUGAUUUAUCUCUUCUGAUGUGGUUAAAUUUAAACAUUGUUGUUGUUAGAUGCUGUUCAGUUGGUUCCAACUUAUAGCGACCCCAUGUACAACAGAACUAAACACUGCCUGGUCCUGGCCAUCCUCACAAUUGUUCUUAUUCUUGAGCCCAUAAAUUUAAACAUACUCAAAUGAAUUAAGUAAACAACAUACUACCAGCCUUCUUUCCUUUGGUGGCCAGAAAUCUAGGACAGAAGCCAGGAGCUGACCACACCCACCUCUGGGGCUGGAGGAUUGUGAGCACCACAAGGGAACAAUGAUACACUUAGUAUAUAUAAUUGGAAAGCUGAAGUAUUUAAUGGCUCCAACUAAUGAUAUUUUCUUUUGUCUUUUGGGUACAGAUAAGGACAAUGGGAAGCUUUAUUAUUAUUUUUUAAAGAAUUGGACCAGGCCAACUAUUAGCUAUCAAUUUUCUAGGAGGCUGGGGUUACUUUCUCGUUUUGCCCUUCACACAAUAUUUAUAGCAUUACAUGUUUUACUUCGUCUCUAGAAUAUUGGCUCUGAAAGUACAGAACAACAAGUUGUGCUUUUUAAAGUUACUGGAUUUUCAAAUUUAUGCAUUUAGACUCUGCAGCAGAUCCACAAUAAGUUUCAUCACAAGGGCUUCGAGAAGCUCCGAGUUCUGGAAAAACAUAGUAUUAAUGAGAGCAGGUGGUGAGCUCCCCACUGAAAUUAAGUGAUGUCAAAUGCAGAUAUGAUAUAUCUGGAAGCCAAGACCAUAACAAAAAAAGACAGAGGUACUUCAAGUACUAUGAAGCACAAAAUAAAUUAUAUUAAUUACAUGACAAAAAUGGCAUUUGAGGACGACAGAAACAAAUUGUUGAUACGCUUUGUAAUGUUGUCUGAUAGACGUGAAGUUUAUGAACCUCUUUAGCAAAUGGAUUUGCAAACAACAGCUGGGAGAGAACAAUUUCAUCAAGGUAGAUGAUCAUUUACAUUGCUUACAGGGAUGUGGUUAAAUUUAUAGGACUUCUCUC